GAAGUUGCAUUGUUUCUUUAUUUCAAUCAAAAGGCAAUAACAACGUAAGUUUUGUCAUUGAUUUUUCUGAUAUUGUUCACUUUAGUUCGUUCUUUGUUAAGGUGGAGUUUUAAUGUUAGUUUCGCUCCAUACUUUAUUUAAUGUUCAAUUAGUUUUCUUUUUAGGUGAGGGGGUUUUGAAUCGAGAUCCUUCAGCGGUG
This 199-nucleotide long non-coding RNA is filed under the name Gossypium raimondii (Peruvian cotton). RNAcentral's name for it is "long non-coding RNA (GRAI_LNC006168)". Lineage: Eukaryota; Viridiplantae; Streptophyta; Magnoliopsida; Malvales; Malvaceae. The record is from RNAcentral.